UUUCCGUAGGUGAACCUGCGGAAGGAUCAUUAGUGAAUAAACAAGUGCAGGUUGUGCUGGCCUUCUUGGUAUGUGCACGCCUGCCAACGUUUCAUUCUAUCUUCCCACCUGUGCACUAUGUGUAGAUUCUGUAUGCUAUUGUCAGGCCUUUAUUGAGCUUGGUUGAGAGGAGUUGCUUGUUUUCGCAGACAAGCUCUCCUUGGGCAUGCAGGGUCUAUGUUUAUAUCAACACCAUAUGAAUGUUAUAGAAUGUGCUUUGGGCUUUUUGGCCUUUAAAUUAUAUACAACUUUCAACAACGGAUCUCUUGGCUCUC
This 314-nucleotide unclassified non-coding RNA is filed under the name plant metagenome. RNAcentral describes it as "partial contains small subunit ribosomal RNA, internal transcribed spacer 1, and 5.8S ribosomal RNA". The record is from RNAcentral.